This 393-nucleotide ribosomal RNA is filed under the name uncultured bacterium. RNAcentral's name for it is "partial 16S ribosomal RNA". It matches the Rfam family "Bacterial small subunit ribosomal RNA", at positions 523 to 918 of the family's 1533-position model. The record is from RNAcentral.
AUACGGAGGAUGCGAGCGUUAUCCGGGUUUAUUGGGUUUAAAGGGUGCGUAGGCUGUGCGUUAAGUCAGGGGUGAAAUGCCGUCGCUCAACGACGGAGCUGCCCUUGAUACUGGCGUGCUGGAGUACGGAUGCCGUUGGAGGAAUGAGUGGUGUAGCGGUGAAAUGCUUAGAUAUCACUCAGAACACCGAUUGCGAAGGCAUCUGACGAAUCCGUCACUGACGCUGAGGCACGAAAGCGGGGGGAUAGAACAGGAUUAGAUACCCUGGUAUUCCACGCCGUAAACGAUGAUGACUAACCGUCGGCGAUAGACAGCCGGUGGCCAAGCGAAAGCGAUAAGGCAUCCACCUGGGGAGUACGGCGGCAACGAUGAAACUCAAAGGAAUUGACGGGG